This 237-nucleotide RNase P RNA is filed under the name Deltaproteobacteria bacterium. Its description in RNAcentral is "partial RNase P RNA component class A". It matches the Rfam family "Bacterial RNase P class A", at positions 145 to 367 of the family's 367-position model. Rfam says of the family: Ribonuclease P (RNase P) is a ubiquitous endoribonuclease, found in archaea, bacteria and eukarya as well as chloroplasts and mitochondria. Its best characterised activity is the generation of mature 5'-ends of tRNAs by cleaving the 5'-leader elements of precursor-tRNAs. The record is from RNAcentral. Lineage: Bacteria; Pseudomonadati; Myxococcota; Myxococcia.
GGGGUAAGGGUGAAAAGGUGCGGUAAGAGCGCACCAGUUCCCUGGGUGACCGGGGAAGCUUUGUAAACCCCACCCGGUGCAAGACCAAAUAGGGGAGUGUUUGAGAGCGGCCCGUUCGAGCUCCCGGGUAGGUCGCAAGAGAUGCCCGGCAACCGGCAUCCAGAGAUGAAUGACCGUUAUCCAGUCCGGGGCAACCCGCAUUGGACACAGAAUUCGGCUUAUUGGUUGCUCGGACCG